GAGGUGCGGCCUCCCGCACUGUCAGAAGGGGAUAGACCCGAGAUUGCCCCCAGGUGGGCAGAACCAGGCCACCUGUGGCCACUUUGCCGGAAGCAGAGGGGCAGGACAGGAAGCUGGACUAUAAAAGGCCAGCCUCCUAGCUCAGUAGAGAGAGAGAGCUGCCAGAGCAGCAGGAUAUCUCUUCCUUGCUGCUGGGGCCCUGAGCUGAAGGAGACGACUGACCGACCAGAGGAGUUACCUGAAUUGCCGGAGACCAGCAACACUGAUGAACUGCCAUUGGCUGUUUACCCCGGGGAGACAGAAGACCACCCCAGAUUGCCUCAAACUGGGGCGGACCCUACCUGAUCAUGCGGAACCUGCCAGGAUGAGAUGGUUUUCCCUAGGUCUGGUCUAUUUGUACUGGAUUGCCUUGGAAGAUUGGCUCAAGAAUUGAACUGAGUGAAAAGGCUCUCAAUGAGAGUUGGACCAGGCCUUCUGUGAGCUAGACAGCCCAAGAGCUGCAGUCUGUGAGCAGCCAGCAGCCUGAAUAAAAAUUAAAAAAAAGCCUUUUGUUUACCACACCUGAGUCCUGUCUUUUCUGUGUAGCAUGGAAACUACAAGAGUUUGAUCUCCAAAUGGAGUCCUUAGUCAAUUUCUGAGGCAGAGUUGCGCUCUGGGAACUGGACACUGGUGUUUGGCAGAGAUUCCUGGAAGAAGGGGUU
This is a long non-coding RNA of Chelonia mydas (Green sea turtle), 701 nucleotides long. RefSeq lists it as uncharacterized. The record is from RefSeq and is a predicted model, not a curated record. The transcript has 3 exons. Lineage: Eukaryota; Metazoa; Chordata; Testudines; Cheloniidae.